RNAcentral lists this ribosomal RNA (496 nucleotides) under uncultured bacterium. RNAcentral describes it as "partial 16S ribosomal RNA". It matches the Rfam family "Bacterial small subunit ribosomal RNA", at positions 28 to 506 of the family's 1533-position model. The record is from RNAcentral.
GACGAACGCUGGCGGCGUGCCUAAUACAUGCAAGUUGAGCGCUGAAGGUUGGUACUUGUACCGACUGGAUGAGCAGCGAACGGGUGAGUAACGCGUGGUGAAUCUGCCUUUGAGCGGGGGACAACAUUUGGAAACGAAUGCUAAUACCGCAUAAAAACUUUAAACACAAGUUUUAAGUUUGAAAGAUGCAAUUGCAUCACUCAAAGAUGAUCCCGCGUUGUAUUAGCUAGUUGGUGAGGUAAAGGCUCACCAAGGCGAUGAUACAUAGCCGACCUGAGAGGGUGAUCGGCCACAUUGGGACUGAGACACGGCCCAAACUCCUACGGGAGGCAGCAGUAGGGAAUCUUCGGCAAUGGACGAAAGUCUGACCGAGCAACGCCGCGUGAGUGAAGAAGGUGUUCGGAUCGUAAAACUCUGUUGGUAGAGAAGAACGUUGGUGAGAGUGGAAAGCGCAUCAAGUGACGGUAACUACCCAGAAAGGGACGGCUAACUACGU